This 71-nucleotide transfer RNA is filed under the name Loxodonta africana (African savanna elephant). It matches the Rfam family "tRNA". From Rfam's summary of the family: Transfer RNA (tRNA) molecules are approximately 80 nucleotides in length. Their secondary structure includes four short double-helical elements and three loops (D, anti-codon, and T loops). Lineage: Eukaryota; Metazoa; Chordata; Mammalia; Proboscidea; Elephantidae. The record is from Rfam by way of RNAcentral.
GCAGUGGUGGUUCAUUGGUAGAACUCUGGCCUUCCCUGAGGAAGACCUGGGUUUGAUUCCUGGCUGAUGCA